This 1706-nucleotide long non-coding RNA is filed under the name Nicotiana tabacum (common tobacco). Its description in RNAcentral is "long non-coding RNA (NTAB_LNC002204)". Lineage: Eukaryota; Viridiplantae; Streptophyta; Magnoliopsida; Solanales; Solanaceae. The record is from RNAcentral.
CACAAGCUUGCCCUAAAUUCUCCCUUAAUUACCCAAUUCUUUUCUCAUUUUUGAAAAGAGGGGACAGACAAGUGAAAAGAGAACAGGGACAGAACCCCAUCCCCUUAAAAAAAAAAAACCUAGCUGCCUCUUCUUCACACAUAUAGACACACGAUUCUUACUCAUGUAAUUCACGCCUCUAUUUUCAUUCACCCACAUACACACCCCUAGUAAUACAAUUCCCACAGAUCUGAAGCCGAUUGAGAAAAACAAAAACAAAAUAAUGAAUUAAAAGGUUUGAAUUCGAGAUCUGAGAUGCAAAAUUUUGAAAUAAAAACAAAAGAAAAGAGUGAAUUUCAAGGAGAACUAAAGCUGAAUCGAUUAUUGUGGAUUGGUGAAGCUUGAAUAUUUUUCUGUUUUUUUUUUUCAAAAGCUAUUAAGUUCGAAAUCAGCUGCUGUUUGCUGGAAUUUCUUGCUGAGCUUCGUCUUCACUGUUUUGCUAGCCUUGAUUUGUCUCAAUUCAGCUAUUUCUUUCGCCUUGCAGAAAUUCUGCCCUUUCUCGGCUGGAAGUUGCUUGCCGAGUUCCAUAUUUGGUCUCUCCUUGCUGUUUUUUGGUAUGUAGCUAUAACUUUGUAUGCUUCCGUUAAGAUAUUAAUUUGAAGAUCUGAAUUUUCAGUUCUGUUUCAUAUGAUAUGUUUUUCUUGCUGUUUGAUGAAUAACUUGGUUUAAUUCUGAGGAUUUGAUUCUUAGUUUAAUUCUAAGUCAAAGUAAAUAACCUUGUAUGCUUUAAUCCACCAAACACCUUUAAAUUUUAAGUUGUUGAGCAUUCUACGUAUUUUGACCUUUUUAUCUUUAAUUGAUCUAAAUAUUUAUAAUGUGGACUCUUCUUUCUUGUGUGAGAAUUGAACUGUACAGGUAAAUUAUAGUAGCUGAAAGACACGUGAUUAGAAUGGUGUAUAACUUUAAAUGGUGUUAUUAACUUAUAAAUGGAUUUAGUGUAUCUGAACGUUUUUUCACGCUUAACUAGGGAAAGAAUGUCAUUUUUAGUCAAUACUUUGGAUCCAAUUGUUCAUGCCUUAAUUAGUACUAUAGAAAUAUUAAUCUCAAGGCAAUUGAGCUGUUAUAAAAUUAGUUGAGAGCAGAUCGUAGAAUUUUGGUUGUUAACGUGAUGUUACUAGGAAUUGGUUUUGGGUUUUGUACCUUUGUCUGUCAAUUCUGGAGGACGUAGAGAUUGCUUUAAAUUUUGGAAGAAAACAUGUCAAGGUGUAGGCAACAAUAGUUAUGUGAUAAUACUUUUCCACAAUAACUCCAUAACUAAUUCAUAUCGUAGCUUGCUUUAGGCGCGAUUAAUAAAUCAUCGUGGCUAUGGGUACGGUUCUCGUGGCAUAGUCACAAUACGUAAUCCCUAAUUCGAGUGUGUGUUUCACGUGACUCGACCAUAACUUUAAAUGUUAAUAAUAAAAUUAACACGUUGUAAAUCGCGGGUGCAUUUCACGUGGCGCGAUUCGUAAUGUAUACAAAAAUAAAUGAGUGCGCGACAUCGCGGCUUAUUCAAAUAAACUCCAUAAAUAAUUAAAAGCGGUUAAAAAGUUAAAAUGCAUAAUAGGUUAUAAAUUUGUAUUAAUUAGAUAAUUAGGCCAAUUAUUAAUAGUUGAGCGACCGUUCUAAAACCACGGAAUUCGGGAGUGCCUCACACCUUCUCCCGGGUUAACGAAAUUUCUUACCCG